RNAcentral lists this ribosomal RNA (310 nucleotides) under uncultured eukaryote. RNAcentral describes it as "partial 18S ribosomal RNA". It matches the Rfam family "Eukaryotic small subunit ribosomal RNA", at positions 1470 to 1796 of the family's 1831-position model. The record is from RNAcentral.
CCCUUAGAUGUCCUGGGCUGCACGCGCGCUACACUGACGAACUCAACGAGCUUAUCACCUUGGCAGAGAUGUCUGGGUAAUCUUUUGAAAGUUCGUCGUGCUGGGGAUAGAUCCUUGCAAUUUUUGAUCUUAAACGGGGAAUUCCUAGUAAGCGCGAGUCAUCAACUCGCGUUGAUUACGUCCCUGCCCUUUGUACACACCGCCCGUCGCUACUACCGAUUGAAUGGCUUAGUGAGGCCUCAGGAUCCGCGCUUAAUGUGUGGAGAAUUUGGACAAACUACGUCAUUUAGAGGAAGUAAAAGUCGUAACA